Molecule: ribosomal RNA, 376 nt
Filed under: uncultured Gammaproteobacteria bacterium
Lineage: Bacteria; Pseudomonadati; Pseudomonadota; Gammaproteobacteria
Description: bacterial SSU rRNA
Rfam family: Bacterial small subunit ribosomal RNA
Source: RNAcentral
UAAUACGGAAGGUCCAAGCGUUAAUCGGAAUUACUGGGCGUAAAGCGCGCGUAGGUGGUUUAUUAAGUUGGAUGUGAAAUCCCCGGGCUCAACCUGGGAACUGCAUCCAAAACUGAUUCACUAGAGUACGAUAGAGGGAGGUAGAAUUCACAGUGUAGCGGUGGAAUGCGUAGAUAUUGUGAAGAAUACCAAUGGCGAAGGCAGCCUCCUGGAUCUGUACUGACACUAAGGUGCGAAAGCGUGGGUAGCGAACAGGAUUAGAUACCCUGGUAGUCCACGCUGUAAACGAUGUCAACUAGCUGUUGGGAAGCUAUGCUUUUCAGUGGCGCAGCUAACGCAAUAAGUUGACCGCCUGGGGAGUACGGCCGCAAGGCUA